AUACAAGCUAGGCAUCCUCCGUUGUAGAGCUAGCGUUACAUUUAGGCUCCGCUUAUCAUUUUCCUUGCUGGUGAACAGGAGAGACAGCGGGCGCUGUAGCUAAGCUAGCAUGAAACAUCCGCCAUGUUGUGACCUCGGUCCACCCGAUCUUGCCCCAUUUGCACCUUUCGCAGAUGCUUUUUAAUCUAUGCCUAUAAGGUGCUUGAUAAAACUCCAAGCAGGCUGACAUGCAAGAGCCAUGAAAUUUACCUUCUCGAGGUUAUUUUUUUGCAGCAUUCUUGUGACACGAAUUAAAGAAUAGGAUAUGCUGACAUUUCCAAUGUGAGAGGGACUUCCCUAUUGAUCUUGUGCGGUAGAUGUGGUGUAUCAACGUAAGGAGGAGCUCCUCUUAAAUGCUCAAGGGGAGAAGCGAGUGGUUUGCUUGCUAACUGAGGCCGCUUUUGUUACUAUGCAAGAUUCCAGUGAAUAGCAUCAAAAAUUCAGAUAAUUAUGCGAUGGUAAGGCUUCAAGUAAUUUAUACAGUACACUUAGUAUCAUUAGACAUUAAGACCGUGAUGUUGUUCAUGUCAUUCAGCUCCUAGAUCUUCCAUCAUAUUAUUGAACUUCAGAUUGAUGGCGUUGAUAAAAAAAUACAGCAGCACAAAACUAGGCAUAUUUAUUAUGUUUUAGGUGUGUAAAUGCUCCCUCGGUUCUUCUUUGUCCUAGCUACAUUUGUCUUGAUAUUGGUAAAAAACAAAUUCAGGUGAUGUCAGGCUGUAGAGGUGUGGAUCUGCGUGAGCAGUUAGUUCGGGUAACUGUACAUAUAAAAUUAGUCCAACUAAUUGCCUUUGAGAA
Molecule: long non-coding RNA, 834 nt
Organism: Lolium rigidum
Lineage: Eukaryota; Viridiplantae; Streptophyta; Magnoliopsida; Poales; Poaceae
Exons: 3
Source: RefSeq, a predicted model, not a curated record